This 623-nucleotide ribosomal RNA is filed under the name Scolecofusariella peltigerae. RNAcentral's name for it is "Scolecofusarium ciliatum partial 28S ribosomal RNA". It matches the Rfam family "Eukaryotic large subunit ribosomal RNA", at positions 1 to 648 of the family's 3401-position model. The record is from RNAcentral. Lineage: Eukaryota; Fungi; Ascomycota; Sordariomycetes; Hypocreales; Nectriaceae.
GUUGACCUCGAAUCAGGUAGGAAUACCCGCUGAACUUAAGCAUAUCAAUAAGCGGAGGAAAAGAAACCAACAGGGAUUGCCCUAGUAACGGCGAGUGAAGCGGCAACAGCUCAAAUUUGAAAUCUGGCCCUCGGGUCCGAGUUGUAAUUUGUAGAGGAUGCUUUUGGUGCGGUACCUUCCGAGUUCCCUGGAACGGGACGCCAUAGAGGGUGAGAGCCCCGUCUGGUUGGAUGCCAAUCCUCUGUAAAGCUCCUUCGACGAGUCGAGUAGUUUGGGAAUGCUGCUCUAAAUGGGAGGUAUAUGUCUUCUAAAGCUAAAUAUUGGCCAGAGACCGAUAGCGCACAAGUAGAGUGAUCGAAAGAUGAAAAGCACUUUGAAAAGAGAGUUAAAAAGCACGUGAAAUUGUUGAAAGGGAAGCGCUUAUGACCAGACUUGGGCUUGGUUGAUCAUCCGGCGUUCUCGCCGGUGCACUCUUCCGGCUCAGGCCAGCAUCAGUUUGCUUCGGGGGAUAAAGGCUUUGGGAAUGUGGCUCCCUCGGGAGUGUUAUAGCCCACUGUGUAAUACCCUGGAGCGGACUGAGGUACGCGUUCUGCAAGGAUGCUGGCGUAAUGGUCAUCAGUGAC